Strigops habroptila (Kakapo) is the source of this 4097-nucleotide long non-coding RNA. Lineage: Eukaryota; Metazoa; Chordata; Aves; Psittaciformes; Psittacidae. The record is from Ensembl.
UUUUUUUUUUUUUUUUUUGUGGUGGUGGUGGUUUGGUGGGGAAUGAAUAGUCUGUUCUGAACCUGAAGUCAUUCAUUUUCAGAAGAGGUUGUUUGUGCUGAAUCCCUCUGCAAUUCACACAUCUCCCAAGCUUACCCAUGUUGGGUGUAUAGUAAAGACAUCAUCUUCAUAGCCAGCAGUGUUAAAGUAGUAGACUUUGCACAACUUUAAUUUUGGGGUUUUUUUGUGUUUUAAAAAAUACUUAAUGUGUGUCUUCUCAACAACUAAGUGUUUUUUUAACAAUGUAUGUACUUCUUUAAGCAUUGCAGAAAAUAGCCUGUGGGUUUUGAAUUUUUAAAUAAGCUAUUAUAGGUUCAUUGCAACAUAACUGUAUCUGUUCUUCUGUUAGUGAAAGGAAACAUGCAGCUGGGAGCCACAGCUUGACAUCACACAACUUUGCUAAAGACAGAGCCAGGUCAGAAGGUGUUGUUUAAUAUUGUUUUUUGUAUUUUUCCAGCUGUUUUGAGUUAGGAUUUUAUGGUAAGAAGAUUCACAAAUCAUCAUUUAGUGAAUUGUUGCUGUUACCAACUUCCAUUGUUCUUGGGCCUCCUACUCUUCUGUGCUUUUCUACCCUCAGAUAUGCUGGAUUUUGUGGGAGAGAUUGAAUAUCGUAGGAGGAGUUACUUAAAAUGUGUAGCCAGAGUAACUGGAGUGAAUAAUGACAACAUGGAAAAUAUUAUUGGUACUUGUUACAAUGAAUAGUUCAGUACUUUCCUAUUGUUUAUCUGCUAUUUAGCCAAGUAGUCCUACAGGGCAACAAAGAAAUGCUGAAAUGUUACAUAUUUUGAGAUAAAUGGUGCUCAGGAGGUGGUAGUGUUGUUCCCUGAGGAAAAGCUGCCUCAGCUAAGCUUUGGAAAGAUUCAAACCAGUCAAAUACACUGUAAAGAAUGUAGUAAUACCCUUUUUUGAAAAAGGGAUUAAAAAUAUAAAUAAUUACACCAGUGCUGAGAAAACAAGGACAGCAACAAGCUCAUGGUAUUCAGGUAAGACUGUCAUCCAGACUACUUCAGGUAGUUGGCAGUUUCUCUUUGACUUUUUUUUUUUAAUGUAUUGCUCUAAUUCCUUAUUUUGUUAAUAACUGCUGAAAUAUUUCAGCUAGUAUUCAUCACUUUAUUUCUUAAUGUUUUGAUUUUGAAACUAAAGAUGCCUCUUAUUUGUUUUGGAGGCAUAGGAGCAAAAAGUAUUCAGUGUAGAUCUUUUUAGCAAGAUUUUGCAUGUAAAUGUUAAUCAUCUGUUGACUGCUGACCACUUCGUUAGCUGAACUAACAGUCUUGGGGAAGACUGAACAACAGGGAAUGUCUGGUUUAUGAAUCUGGUGCAGUGCAUUAGAAAUACAUACAAUUGCAGUGGUUGUUGAAUACUUUUAUCCUUCUAACUUAAUCCAGACUACUUUUGGCUACAUUUUUCAAACCUGACUUCUAUUCCAGUGUGCUUAGAAAGCAGAUAAGGAGAUUUAUUUUUGAAAAAAUUCUGAUAAUUUGAGUUAACAUACCUCAUCCCAGACAUGUAUUGAAUUUUGCAGACAUUUCAUGCCAGAGGAAACUAUAAUGAUUCAUUAAGUAUUUAGGUGCAAGUUAUAGACAUUAAAAUUACAAAUACUAAAUGAAUGCACAUAAAUACUUAAUGAAUGAGCUUUAGCACGCAGCUUAAAAUCGUGUUACUGUUAGCUCUUUUAGAUUACUGCAGAAAUCAUACUGAAGAAAGAUCUGUAAAAGAAAAUACUUUAAUGACAGACACUAUUUGUCAACUCUGCAGCUGGUGUAUCAAGCAGCCCCCUAGUUACGCAGAUGUUUUAGCCUUCUGCUUGAGGAAUCAGUGUCUCUUUUGGGGAAUCAGCUGAUUAACUUUCCUCCUCAAAAUGCAACUGCAGAGCACUUGAACUUUUACCAAGAAAAGCAUUUAUAGAAGUAUGCAUAUGCAUUUGAAAACAUAUUGGGAGCAAAAGAAAGCAUAAAACAAAAACAAUGACAAACCAAAAAAACAGGUUUCAUUAGGUUUGAUAAAAGGCAAUUGGUAUUGUGGUUUUGGUUAGCUGUUGCAAAUCUUGUUCAAAUCAAUAUAAGGUAAAUCAUGGGAUCUUGUUUCUUCUGGCUCUGUCAGUGGCAUUUUUCUUCAUUCAUUGUCCUUUUUUUGGUAUGCUAACCCACCAGCAUUACUAGAUCUUUUCCAUGGGCAGCUGUAGUAUGCUGCCUGUUGCAAGCAUUGAGACACCAGGGCUGUUAGUAAAUUGCAUCAGAUAAUUGCUUAUUUGCCCUCCAAGGAAAAGUUUCAAAAGUUUUGUUAUUAUUUAACUGUUGCCCUUUUUUUAAUUCUUCUCUAAAAGUGACUUGUGCAUAAGGUGAUUUGUCUUGGGAAAGAUUCUGUACGAGUGGACAUGGAAUUUGUUUGUAGGGGUUAUCCUUUUUUUAAAAACCAUCAUUCUAAUUUAUGAUGUGACAAAGAGUGUGAGUGCUUGAUUUUUAAGGAGGACAUUUGUCAGUGCCUUAUUAUUAACUUGAAGACCAAUUCUUUUAUUUCAGUGCUGAGUGUACCACAAUGGCAGACUUGCAUACUGUGUCCUUGAUGUUCCAAGGGGUAACAUUCCUUACAGUCGUUGCAUUUCUGCAGAAGUUAGUUGUUUUGGUCAGUGUAAAAUAGUUGUGGCUUGAAUUGCUUUAGCUGGGGGGUGAGGUAGGAGCAUGGGGUGUUUGUAUUUGAAUAGCUUCUUUUAAGGAAAAAUGCAGAGAUAUUCGGUAGCUUGGGCUUGUUCAGCUUUUAUCAGAAGUAGCUCAGACUUCUUCAAAAUUGAUUUGAUUUAAUUUUCUUUUGGUAUGUCUCUGGAUAGAUGAGGAGUAGGGAUUGAAAGGGGUAAUCCAAGUCAUGGUCUAGACCACAUGAACUAAGAGCUCACGUUAUUAGAAAGGAGCUCAGUUUUCUCUUUCCCAUUUUGAUUUAAACAUUGAAGAGCAUUCUUAUACCUAUAGGAAAAAAAAAUGGGGAAAGAAAAGGCUUGAAUAAAUAUUACUCUUUCUUAAUAUCCCAUAAGUUCAGUUCUGUAUAUCGUAUUUCUAGUGUCAACGCUAUGUGGAGAGUACUGUCCUUCACUGAAACAACUGCUAGAGAUGGUUUUAGUAGUAAGAAAUUACAAGUAUUUGAAAGAAAAAAAUGAAAGAAUAUGUUGUUCUCAAGCAAUUAAAUAUUUGUUUUCCUUGAACACAUCCUUAUAAAAACAUAGCAGUUUUAGUGUUUAUAAGUUCAGAUGCUGGAAGGGUAAUUAGAAAAUCUUAUGCUUUCUAGACUCUUCAAAGACAAUAGAAGGGUUAAGUCAAAGGAGGAAAGACAAAUAACUCAGUUUAGCCAUGCCUGUUACAGAAUAGAGCUAACAAGUUUUCUUGAAGUUACGUUGCUAAGAAAAAAGGUGUAUGAAAUGUAAUGAAAUGCAAGUUCCUGCAGAUAGUGGCACAGUUACAGCUAUUAGCCUGAUCUUGCUCUUGAAUGACUAAAAGCAUCAUAAAUAUUCCAUUUCCUUUGUGUGUUUGAUUAGCAUAUAAUUUCUCUUUAUUUGGGUAUGUUCUGGCCUUCACAUGUGUUUCCUGAAGGUAUUUCUUACCAUUCCAAAGCCGUUCACAGAUGGAGCUGAAAAGCAGUAUAAAUUGAUUAAAUGUUGAAAUAAAGGCUUCUGGGGUGCCUUGCUUACAGCCACUUCUAGCUCCUUGUGUACAGGAGCAUAUUCAUUCAAAUACUACCAUACUGAAGUGUGAAAAGCACCAGAAGUAAUAGAUGUGGUUUAUAAUAAUCCUAUAAGGACCAACCAUCACUGGAAAGGGGAAUCAAGGUUGUCAUGCAGUAAACACAAGCCAUUUUUAAUAUUCCUGUCUGGCAUGAGGUGUUAUAGGGAUAGGGAUUGCACUGUGAUCUCAUUGAGUGAUGUGCAGUUUGGCUGGCCUCUAGCCUUUUUCUUCUACUUUUUUAAUACUUUAUUCUGUGUGUGCGUGUGAAAAUUGUGUGUUUCCAUAAGCUAGUCAAAAUGAAUUACAGGUUUCAGAAAUCUUUCCUACUGAAAUAAAUGAUUUAAAAGA